GGGGACGAAGCCGAAAAUCCCUUAUCAGAGUAGGCA
Molecule: non-coding RNA, 36 nt
Submitted as: unclassified sequences
Source: Rfam